Molecule: non-coding RNA, 415 nt
Organism: Ceratotherium simum simum (southern white rhinoceros)
Lineage: Eukaryota; Metazoa; Chordata; Mammalia; Perissodactyla; Rhinocerotidae
Source: RefSeq, a predicted model, not a curated record
UCUGCAGGACAUGGCUCCACCCUUUCAGGCCAACUUCACCAUCAGUCCUGUGACCUCUGACCACGAGGGGACCUACAGGUGCUACGGUUCAGACAGCACCUCCCCCUACCUGUUGUCACUUCCCAGUGACCCCCUGGAGCUCCUGGUCUCAGAAGGUGCCAGGGGUGCAGAAGGAAGGUCUUGUGGGAGCCACAGGGCUGAUGCAGCAGAAGAGUUUGAGCGAAGUGGGGAAUCCAGGGUCAGCCCAACCCCCCGCCCACAGGGCUCAUCUCAACAACUGGUGAGUCACUGAAGCCCCUUUGCUCUGAGGAAGCACAGACCACCCAGGCCAGUUCUAAGAGUCUCUCAGAGGAUGUGAUGCCCCCUCAGAUACUCAAGAACCGGCUUGUCUGCCAGGGGAGCUGGGAGUUGGGCA